GUUUACGGCCAUGCCACCCUGAACAAGCCCGAUCUCAUCUGAUCUCGGAAGCUAAGCAGGGUCGGGCCUGGUUAGUACUUGGAUGGGAGACCACGUAGGAAGACCAGGUGCUGUAGGCA
This 119-nucleotide ribosomal RNA is filed under the name Pteropus alecto (black flying fox). The record is from RNAcentral. Lineage: Eukaryota; Metazoa; Chordata; Mammalia; Chiroptera; Pteropodidae.